AGUUUUUAUUGUGCGGACGCUGAGAGCCAUUGAAACAAACUGUAAACCCUGUAUGUGAUGGAAAUCGCUUCAAGCCAGGGGGCACAGCAGCACCCCUAGUUCCAGCACCUCUGUAAAAGUUUAACAAAUGGAGCGGGGGCUAGCCUUUGCUCUAGCCUUUGAAGUUUGGUCUGUAGUGUUUUACACCCAUUUGCACAUGACUCUACAGGGUGGAAAACAGAACAGAAUUGGGCCCAUUAAUUUCCUCCUUAUUGUUAAUGAAUGGACCUACAUUCUCUCCAGUGUGACCCCCCCCCCCCGGAUAAGUUUGUAAGAGGCCUUGUUAUUCCUCUUAACCCUUUGAGUUAACAUUAGCUCAUCCUGCCAUGUUUGGGUGCCCUUAUCUUUCUCUCCCUGCAUCUCUUAGUUGAUUUUGUGGUGGCUUCCAACUUCCCUAUUAUUUAGAUGCUGCAGGUAAGAGCUUGACGGCCCCAUUGUGCUGGGCCUGGCACAACCACAGAGUGCAAGACAGCCCCUGCCCUGAAGAGCUUACAAACCAAACUUCCCCAUAAAGGGGGAGAGAUGGGAAGUACUAUUAUCCCCGUUUUACAAACGGGAAACGGAGUCACAGAGCGAUCGCAUGCCUGUGUGUGACAGCUUCCAUCGGGGCCAACGUGCCAGAGACUGGCAAGUGUGAGUCUUCCCAACCUGUGCUGCCGAGCCAGGCCCUGGAGCUGGGAGCUAUAAGCGGCUCCCAUCCUCCAUGGAUCAGGCACAGAGGGGGACAAACGACACAUGGUAACCCUGGGGUUACACUGGAAGGUGUGACAGAGCCAGGAUUCAGAUCUCCCGAGUCCCAGUCUAGAGCCUUCACCGUGAGACCGUCCCCAGGACUGGCUCUGAGCUCUGAGGUUAAAGAUGGAAGGUAGUCCUAUUCAUUGACUCCUGCACCUUCUUUGUGUGCACUCCUUGAUGAUCGCAGCAUAGACCAGACCAGGCCUAAUGCAGUGCCUUUUGCAAAGGCCCAGCUCAGAGUGGCCUCGGGCAGUUUUCCUUGGCUCUGUGUCUUAUGCUUUUGUACCAUGAAUUUUGUGCAUCUGGGAGCAAGGGAAUCCUGUGACACAGGAAUUUUGCUCAGACCUUCGCCUCUUUUUCCCAAGAACAUGUCUCUUUGUUGCAGUGUUCCCUUUAGGCACCCGUUAUGCUCUCUUCCCCGUACAUCCCUGCGCUUUGGGGACGGAAGCCAGCGCUCCCCGUCUCAUGAACUCCCAGCUGGCUCAUGUUGCACAUCUGCAUUCAGUCUUGUUUGGAGGUGUUAGCCCAGAGCGGGCAUCCCGCCGAGUUUCCAGGUGUGAAAAAACACAGGAGUUGCAGUUUUUCAGCAGUGAUUCAGCUGCGUUUUUAAAGAAAACAACUCCCCUCGACUGCAGCAGGAAAUCACUGUUUGGAUUUAUGAGGUACCUUUUCCUGACCAUCCUCUCUGAAAAAGCCUUUGCUAGAUUGACAUGACUGCUCCAUUCCUGACUCCUGCUGGGAGAAUCUGGACAACGGGAGCUUGGAGAAUAAGGUGUAGUCCAGUGGUUCUCAACCAGGGGCACACGUACCGCUGGGGAUACGCAGAGGUCUUCCAGCGGGUACAUCAACUCAUCUGGAUAUUUGCCUAGUUUUACAACAGACUACAUAAAAAGCACUAG
Molecule: long non-coding RNA, 1673 nt
Organism: Dermochelys coriacea (leatherback sea turtle)
Lineage: Eukaryota; Metazoa; Chordata; Testudines; Dermochelyidae
Exons: 3
Source: RefSeq, a predicted model, not a curated record